Molecule: long non-coding RNA, 1042 nt
Organism: Neogale vison (American mink)
Lineage: Eukaryota; Metazoa; Chordata; Mammalia; Carnivora; Mustelidae
Exons: 4
Source: RefSeq, a predicted model, not a curated record
GGUGUGUCCGGUCUGAUAAACACUCCACAGAGGGGCUGUGGGCUGUGAGAAGAGCCCUGGACCCUGUGUCAGGACCCAGGGUCUGGGUUCUUGUUCUGCCACCAACCUGUGUGACUUGGGAAGUAGGGGAGGCUACACGGAGGCAGCAAAAGAAGGGUUCUCCUUUGAGCCUCAGGAAGAGAGGAGUUCUGUUGGCGGGCGCUGUUGCCAUCACCAUUGUACCCAUUUUACAGAUGAAGAAACUGAGACACACAGAGAAGUGGGGGAACGUGGCCAAGAUUUCACAGACAGGUCUUGGCGUUGGCCGGGAGACGUCCAGAGCUGGACUGACAGCACCAACCAUCACCUUGUGCCCAUGGCCUGUGUCACCAAGUGCCAUGAUUCUGCUUCUGGAGGAAUUCAACAUUAACAACACCAACCAAAGACAGCAAACCCAGCCAAUGACUGAGAUCUGUUCUAGUUCUGUUUUGUACACAUUUCUAGAGCACAACCUAUGUGACAGGAUCUACUGGGUUCCGUCCUUAUCCCUAGAAGGGAAAUCACACAGGUAACUGUACUAGACAAAUAUACAAAGCAAUAUAAAGAAGAGGAGGUGGGGAGGCGGUGGUUAUCAGGGAGUUUUACAAUGGAGGUGACAUCUGAGGUUUUGAAGGAUGAAUAGGAGCUCUCCAGGUAGACAAGCAGACUAUGGGGACAGCAUAGUUAAAAAUCCAGAGAUGUGAAAAUGCACAAGAUAUCGAGGAUACCACUAGUUGUUGAGUAUCUCCCAUGUUGCUAGAGAACAAAGUAUAUUUUUGUAUCAAGUAAAGUGUUUGUAGGGAGAAUGAGGAGAGAAUUAGAAUAGCAAGAGAUGUGAUUGAAUAGACAGGCAGAAUCUUGUCCAUACUGCUGAAGGUGUUUAGAUACUAUCCUGAAAAGAUCAGGGUGUUUUAAGAAAUUGUGCAUUAUCUUUUUCUGAUUGUAUAAUAUCAAAUGCUCAUUGUAGACAAGUUGGCCGAUAAAGAGAAGUAUAAAGAAGAAAAUAAAAUUACCUUAAAUCCAG